AUUGAACGCUGGCGGCAUGCUUUACACAUGCAAGUCGAACGGUAACAGGCCGCAAGGUGCUGACGAGUGGCGCACGGGGGAGUAAUGCAUCGGAACGUGCCCAGGCGUGGGGGAUAACUACUCGAAAGAGUAGCUAAUACCGCAUACGAGCUAUGGAUGAAAGCGGGGGACCGUAAGGCCUCGCGCGAUUGGAGCGGCCGAUGUCAGAUUAGGUAGUUGGUGGGGUAAAGGCUCACCAAGCCAACGAUCUGUAGCUGGUCUGAGAGGACGACCAGCCACACUGGGACUGAGACACGGCCCAGACUCCUACGGGAGGCAGCAGUGGGGAAUUUUGGACAAUGGGCGCAAGCCUGAUCCAGCAAUGCCGCGUGCAGGAAGAAGGCCUUCGGGUUGUAAACUGCUUUUGUACGGAACGAAACGGCUCUGGUUAAUACCCGGGGCUAAUGACGGUACCGUAAGAAUAAGCACCGGCUAACUACGUG
This 482-nucleotide ribosomal RNA is filed under the name uncultured bacterium. RNAcentral describes it as "partial 16S ribosomal RNA". It matches the Rfam family "Bacterial small subunit ribosomal RNA", at positions 30 to 507 of the family's 1533-position model. The record is from RNAcentral.